AUUGAACGCUGGCGGCAGGCCUAACACAUGCAAGUCGAACGGUAACAGGAAACAGCUUGCUGUUUCGCUGACGAGUGGCAGACGGGUGAGUAAUGUCCGGGAAACUGCCUGAUGGAGGGGGAUAACUACUGGAAACGGUAGCUAAUACCGCAUAACGUCGCAAGACCAAAGAGGGGGACCUUCGGGCCUCUUGCCAUCAGAUGUGCCCCGAUGGGAUUAGCUAGUAGGUGGGGUAACGGCUCACCUAGGCGACGAUCCCUAGCUGGUCUGAGAGGAUGACCAGCCACACUGGAACUGAGACACGGUCCAGACUCCUACGGGAGGCAGCAGUGGGGAAUAUUGCACAAUGGGCGCAAGCCUGAUGCAGCCAUGCCGCGUGUAUGAAGAAGGCCUUCGGGUUGUAAAGUACUUUCAGCGGGGAGGAAGAGAGUAAAGUUAAUACCUUUGCGCAUUGACGUUACCCGAAGAAGAAGCACCGGCUAACUCCGUG
RNAcentral lists this ribosomal RNA (490 nucleotides) under uncultured bacterium. RNAcentral's name for it is "partial 16S ribosomal RNA". It matches the Rfam family "Bacterial small subunit ribosomal RNA", at positions 30 to 507 of the family's 1533-position model. The record is from RNAcentral.